CUCUCUAAUGUUCUCCUCUCUGUUCUCCUCUCUGUAAGGUUCUCCUCUCUCUAAUGUUCUCCUCUCUAUAAUGUUCUCCUCUCUGUUCUCCUCUCUGUAAGGUUCUCCUCUCUCUAAUGUUCUCCUCUCUCUAAUGUUCUCCUCUCUGUUCUCCUCUCUCUAAUGUUCUCCUCUCUCUAAUGUUCUCCUCUCUGUUCUCCUCUCUCUAAUGUUCUCCUCUCUCUAAUGUUCUCCUCUCUGUUCUCCUCUCUCUAAUGGUUUCCUCUCUGUUCUCCUCUCUGUAAGGUUCUCCUCUCUCUAAUGUUCUCCUCUCUGUUCUCCUCUCUGUAAGGUUCUCCUCUCUCUAAUGUUCUCCUCUCUGUUCUCCUCUCUGUAAGGCUCUCCUCUCUGUAAUGUUCUCCUCUCUAUAAUGCUUUCCUCUCGUUAAUGGCCAUACAGCUUGAUCUCCUGUUCAGAAGGUCAACUUGUGAGUAAUGAUCUGUUGCUUCGCUGCUCGUCCAUUUUCCCUUGAUGGCGCUGACCAUAACUCAUCUGUCUCUCUCUCUCUCUCAUGCAACUGCAGCGAUUAUUGGAGGAUUUAUUUUAGUCUGGCCAGCACCGGACACAUGCAGCAGUGUUAUACCUCUCUUUUGGAUGAGGGUGACAUAUGGCUGGUGGACAUGGGAUCCAGAGUGACAGCUUCCUGUUUACAAGCUGCCCAGAGACUUCUGUAGUAGCAGGGGGUGUGUUAGAGAGACACUGCUUGGGCUGUUUUGAAGAGAACAGGGGACCUUGGGUACGACACAAUCUUGUUCCUUUUGGAUCUGGAGCAGAUCGAUAUGUCAGCCAUAACUCCGUUCUACCGCACCCGUGCGUAGAUGGACAAUGGAGGAUCCAUUGUUUUAUAACCCACUUAUCUGGACCAGAGUCCUGGCCUCUACCACCUUUGUGGGCCAGGCUUGUAAGAGUUGAGUUCACUAAGUUGGGUGACCUGCAAGAAGAGGCUUGGUGGAAAUCUGCCAGCAACAUGGUGGAGGUUUUCUCCAUAAAGUCCACCAGGCUGCUGCAGCAGGUGGUGGAAGGGGUCCGUGCUGCACCACCGAGAGCUGCUGCGGAGUAGGCGGUCCGAGGAGCCACCACGCCGGACACCGAGUGACCGACCACUUACCUGAGAGGCCUAUCAGUUGUAUUUGUCCCAUACCCGAUCCCCCAACGUUCAUGAAAGAACAACUUUUGUUUGAGCACCAGAAAUCGGUCUCCCACUGUCUUAUUUUAUUAUAGAAUCACCAAACCACACAGUGGAGGGUCCAAUUAUCAAGCGUACAACAAUAUCAGUGGAAAUAUUGACUCAGGGAAGCAAAAACAGUCUGGACUCUUGUUCCGUAAUGGAAAUAGCGACAUACAGGAGCAGUUGGGUUUAAGUGCCAUGCUCAAGGGUACAGACAGAUUUUCCACCUACUCGGCUAAGGGAUUUGAACCAGUGACCACUCUAGUUAUGAGCCCAAUGCUCUUAACCACUAGUCUGCAAGGUCUUGUCUCAUUGCUGCAACUCCCCAACGGGCUCGGGAGAGGUGAACGUCGAGUCUUGUGUCCCCCGAAACAUGACCUGCCUAACCGCACUUCUUAACACGUGCCCGCUUAAACUACACCAAUGUGUGAGAGGAAACACUGUGCAACUGACGAACAUAGUCAGCCUGCAGAAACCCAGCCUGCCACAAGGAGACGCAAGAGUGCGAUGAGCCAAGUAAAAACCUCCCUGGCUAAACAUUCCCCUAACCCAGACGACGCUUGCUCAAUUGUGCAUCGCCCUGUGGGACUCCCGGUCAAGGCCGGUUGUGACAUUGGCUGGGAUUGAACACAGGUCUGAGAUAAGGCUUUUUCUUUGAAACUCUGCCUGGAAGGCCAGCAUCCUGGAAUACGAUAGAUACUCAAAGGCGUCGACUGCAUUCCUAAGGUGGAGACGAGGUUGGAAAUAGUGUGUGGGGUUGUUGCAUUUUACAGUUAUUACAUUUUACUGUUGUUAUUACAUUUUACUGUUGUUAUUACAUUUUACUGUUGUUAUUACAUUUUACUGUUGUUAUUGCAUUUUACUGUUGUUAAUACAUUUUACUGUUGUUAAUACAUUUUACUGUUGUUAAUACAUUUUACUGUUGUUAUUACAUUUUACUGUUGUUAUUGCAUUUUACUGUUGUUAAUACAUUUUACUGUUGUUAUUACAUUUUACUGUUGCUAUUGCAUUUUACUGUUGUUAAUACAUUUUACUGUUGUUAUUGCAUUUUACUGUUGUUAUUACAAUGUAUAUGGCCCUAAUGGCACCCUAUUCCCUAUAUAGUACACUGGCCCUGGUCAAAAUUUGUGCACUACAUAUAGGGAAUAGGGUGCCAUAGGGCUCUGGUCAAAAGUAGUGCACUAUAUAGGGAAUAGGGUGCCAUAGGGACCCCUGGUUCCAAUCCAUGCAACAGAUGGGAGGAAUAUGACAAUUUAAUGUGGAAUUGGCAUGAUCAACUCAAUAGUCGGUAGUAAUAUAAAUUAUUCAGUUACAGGGUUCAAAAGGUGAAAAGGAAGAACUGUACUCACUGAAAUAAAAUACAUUUUCAUGAA
RNAcentral lists this long non-coding RNA (2580 nucleotides) under Salmo salar (Atlantic salmon). Its description in RNAcentral is "lncRNA (ENSSSAG00000088673.1)". Lineage: Eukaryota; Metazoa; Chordata; Actinopteri; Salmoniformes; Salmonidae. The record is from RNAcentral.